GUUUUAUGGCAAAAAUGUGUUCAGCCUUUCCUACCCAUUUCAAUGUAUUUUCUCAUUUGCCUGAUAUAUGGGAGUAACUCAUCUAGUUUCUAAAUCUUUUCCACAGGCAGUUGCUCCUUGUAUAGCUGUAUAUUUGGUAUAUUUAUAGGAGGAGCAAAGCUCAGGAGCCUCCUAUGUUACCAUCUUGAUUGAUUCUCUGUUUUGAUUCUGUUCUCCUGAAGUACUGAAGUCACCAUGGUUGGAAACAGGAAGAAUGGUGACAGUGAAGUCGGUAUACAUCAGAGGAACACAGACCCUGGCAUCCUUUUCUGCCUCAUGAGCACUCAGAUAUCACAGGUCAAGAUCACUAUGCCCUUGGUGCUCAGUGGGAAAAUGGUGUAAGCUAGAAGGUCUCCACUGACAAGAUCUGAAUGUUUUGACAGAUAUGAAUUUAUUUUGUCGAGAUUAUUUACUCUGAAGCCUCUGAUUUCUAAUGAUUGAGGUUGGAGGCUGAAUUCUGGUUGCAAGAGGAAGAGGAAGAGAAAGAUUUUUUUAGAAUUUACCAAAUGCUAAAAAUAAGGAGAAAUUCAAUUUAUGAACUGGGGGUAGAAAAGACAGACUGGUUUUUUCCUUAGGUAUUAUGUGUAGAAGUGACAAAACAGAAAGAAAUAAGAAAUAAUUACAGAAUAUUAUAAUUUGUUCUUAGCGGGGAAAACUGAGUAAUUCACUGAGAAACUGUAUUUGCUUCCAUUAAACCCACUUACCUUCCAGUCACAAUUGCUAAGCUUAGAUUCUCAAAAGGUAUGGAUGGAACUGGAGGGUAUUAUGCUGAGUGAAGUAAGUCAAUCAGAGAAGGACAAACAUUAUAUGGUUUCACUCAUACGGAGAAUAUAAAAAAUAGGGAAAGGGAUUAAAAGCUAAAAGAGAGAAAAUGAGUGGGAAAUAUCAGUGAGGGUGACAAAUCAUGAGAGACUCCUAACUUUGAGAAAUGAACAAUGGGUAGUGGAAGGCGAGGUGGGCAGGGGAUUGGGGUGACUGAGUGACGGGCACUGAAGGGGUCAGUUAAUGGGAUGAGCACUGGGUGUUUUAC
This 1069-nucleotide long non-coding RNA is filed under the name Canis lupus familiaris (dog). RNAcentral describes it as "lncRNA (ENSCAFG00000057809.1, ENSCAFG00805025286.1)". The record is from RNAcentral. Lineage: Eukaryota; Metazoa; Chordata; Mammalia; Carnivora; Canidae.